Molecule: ribosomal RNA, 825 nt
Filed under: Photobacterium sp. SW27
Lineage: Bacteria; Pseudomonadati; Pseudomonadota; Gammaproteobacteria; Vibrionales; Vibrionaceae
Description: bacterial SSU rRNA
Rfam family: Bacterial small subunit ribosomal RNA
Source: RNAcentral
ACAUGCAAGUCGAGCGGCAGCGACAUAAACAAUCCUUCGGGUGCGCUUAUGGGCGGCGAGCGGCGGACGGGUGAGUAAUGCCUGGGAAUAUGCCCUGAUGGGGGGGAUAACCAUUGGAAACGAUGGCUAAUACCGCAUAAUCUCUUCGGAGCAAAGAGGGGGACCUUCGGGCCUCUCGCGUCAGGAUUAGCCCAGAGAUUAGCUAGUUGGUGAGGUAAGAGCUCACCAGACGAUCUCUAGCUGGUCUGAGAGGAUGAUCAGCCACACUGGAACUGAGACACGGUCCAGACUCCUACGGGAGGCAGCAGUGGGGAAUAUGCACAAUGGGGGAAACCCUGAUGCAGCCAUGCCGCGUGUGUGAAGAAGGCCUUCGGGUUGUAAAGCACUUUCAGUUGUGAGGAAGGCAUACGUUAAUAGCGUGUGUGUUUGACGUUAGCAACAGACACCGGCUAACUCCGUGAGCAGCCGCGGUAAUACGAGGGUGCGAGCGUUAAUCACUGGGCGUAAAGCGCAUGCAGGCGGCUUGUUAAGCCAGAUGUGAAAGCCCGGGAACCUCGGAAUAGGGAACUGGCAGGCUAGAGUCUUGUAGAGGGGGGUAGAAUUUCAGGUGUAGCGGUGAAAUGCGUAGAGAUCUGAAGGAAUACCGGUGGCGAAGGCGGCCCCCUGGACAAAGACUGACGCUCAGAUGCGAAAGCGUGGGGAGCAAACAGGAUUAUACCCUGGUAGUCCACGCCGUAAACGAUGUCUACUUGGAGGUUGGAACUUCUGGCUUUCGGAGCUAACGCAUUAAGUAGACCGCCUGGGGGAGUACGGUCGCAAGAUAAA